GAUGAACGCUGGCGGCGUGCCUAAUACAUGCAAGUAGAACGCUGAAGGAGGAGCUUGCUCUUCUGGAUGAGUUGCGAACGGGUGAGUAACGCGUAGGUAACCUGCCUGGUAGCGGGGGAUAACUAUUGGAAACGAUAGCUAAUACCGCAUGACAACAGUUAUUGCAUGAUAACUGUUUAAAAGGGGCAACUGCUCCACUACCAGAUGGACCUGCGUUGUAUUAGCUAGUUGGUGAGGUAACGGCUCACCAAGGCGACGAUACAUAGCCGACCUGAGAGGGUGAUCGGCCACACUGGGACUGAGACACGGCCCAGACUCCUACGGGAGGCAGCAGUAGGGAAUCUUCGGCAAUGGACGGAAGUCUGACCGAGCAACGCCGCGUGAGUGAAGAAGGUUUUCGGAUCGUAAAGCUCUGUUGCAAGAGAAGAACGAGUGUGAGAGUGGAAAGUUCACACUGUGACGGUAUCUUACCAGAAAGGGACGGCUAACUACGU
RNAcentral lists this ribosomal RNA (494 nucleotides) under uncultured bacterium. RNAcentral describes it as "partial 16S ribosomal RNA". It matches the Rfam family "Bacterial small subunit ribosomal RNA", at positions 28 to 506 of the family's 1533-position model. The record is from RNAcentral.